Molecule: ribosomal RNA, 508 nt
Filed under: uncultured bacterium
Lineage: Bacteria
Description: partial 16S ribosomal RNA
Rfam family: Bacterial small subunit ribosomal RNA
Source: RNAcentral
GACGAACGCUGGCGGCGCGCUUAACACAUGCAAGUCGAGCGAGAACCAGGGCUUCGGCCCUGGGGACAGCGGCGAACGGGUGAGUAACACGUGGAUAACCUGCCCUCGGCACCGGGAUAGCCCGGGGAAACCCGGAUUAAUACCGGAUGGCCCUUCCGGCUCACGAGCCGGUCGGAAAAGGUAGCUUCGGCCUCCGGCCGAGGAUGGGUCCGCGGCGGAUUAGCUUGUUGGUGGGGUAACGGCCCACCAAGGCUCCGAUCCGUAGCUGGUCUGAGAGGACGAUCAGCCACACUGGGACUGAGACACGGCCCAGACUCCUACGGGAGGCAGCAGUGGGGAAUCUUGCGCAAUGGGCGAAAGCCUGACGCAGCGACGCCGCGUGAGGGAGGAAGGCCUUCGGGUUGUAAACCUCUUUCAGGAGGGACGAAGCUACUCGGGUGAAUAGCCCAGAGGGUGACGGUGCCUCCAGAAGAAGCCCCGGCUAACUACGUGCCAGCAGCCGCCGUAA